Molecule: transfer RNA, 77 nt
Filed under: Pseudonocardiaceae bacterium YIM PH 21723
Lineage: Bacteria; Bacillati; Actinomycetota; Actinomycetes; Pseudonocardiales; Pseudonocardiaceae
Description: tRNA-Thr
Rfam family: tRNA
About the family: Transfer RNA (tRNA) molecules are approximately 80 nucleotides in length. Their secondary structure includes four short double-helical elements and three loops (D, anti-codon, and T loops).
Source: RNAcentral
GCCGCCUUAGCUCAGUCGGCCAGAGCGGUUCACUCGUAAUGAACAGGUCAAGGGUUCGAUUCCCUUAGGCGGCUCCG